UCCACGCCCUAAACGAUGUCUACUAGUUGUCGGGUUUUAAUUAACUUGGUAACGCAGCUAACGCGUGAAGUAGACCGCCUGGGGAGUACGGUCGCAAGAUUAAAACUCAAAGGAAUUGACGGGGACCCGCACAAGCGGUGGAUGAUGUGGAUUAAUUCGAUGCAACGCGAAAAACCUUACCUACCCUUGACAUGUACGGAAGGCCGAAGAGAUUUGGCUGUGCUCGAAAGAGAGCCGUAACACAGGUGCUGCAUGGCUGUCGUCAGCUCGUGUCGUGAGAUGUUGGGUUAAGUCCCGCAACGAGCGCAACCCUUGUCAUUAGUUGCUACGAAAGGGCACUCUAAUGAGACUGCCGGUGACAAACCGGAGGAAGGUGGGGAUGACGUCAAGUCCUCAUGGCCCUUAUGGGUAGGGCUUCACACGUCAUACAAUGGUACAUACAGAGCGCCGCCAACCCGCGAGGGGGAGCUAAUCGCAGAAAGUGUAUCGUAGUCCGGAUUGUAGUCUGCAACUCGACUACAUGAAGUUGGAAUCGCUAGUAAUCGCGGAUCAGCAUGUCGCGGUGAAUACGUUCCCGGGUCUUGUACACACCGCCCGUCACACCAUGGGAGCGGGUUUUACCAGAAGUAGGUAGCUUAACCGCAAGGAGGGCGCUUACCA
RNAcentral lists this ribosomal RNA (660 nucleotides) under uncultured bacterium. Its description in RNAcentral is "bacterial SSU rRNA". It matches the Rfam family "Bacterial small subunit ribosomal RNA", at positions 794 to 1459 of the family's 1533-position model. The record is from RNAcentral.